Molecule: ribosomal RNA, 347 nt
Filed under: uncultured bacterium
Lineage: Bacteria
Description: partial 16S ribosomal RNA
Rfam family: Bacterial small subunit ribosomal RNA
Source: RNAcentral
CCUACGGGCGGCAGCAGUGAGGAAUAUUGGGCAAUGGCCGGAAGGCUGAACCAGCCAAGUCGCGGGAAGGAAGAAGGAGCUAUGGGUUGUAAACUUCUUUUAUAGGGGAAUAAAGGUAUCCACGUGUGGAUAUUUGCAUGUACCCUAUGAAUAAGCAUCGGCUAACUCCGUGCCAGCAGCCGCGGUAAUACGGAGGAUGCGAGCGUUAUCCGGAUUUAUUGGGUUUAAAGGGUGCGUAGGUUGGUUUUUAAGUCAGCGGUGAAAGUUUGUGGCUCAACCAUAAAAUUGCCGUUGAAACUGGGAGCCUUGAGUGUGUUUGAGGUCGGCGGAAUGCGUGGUGUAGCGGU